CCAAACCCACCCAAGGCUGCCUCCUGGACCUGCCAAGCGGAGAAGGGACCUCUGCGGCAUGUAUUUCAAGGACCACAGGAUCUUCUCCUUCCCAGAGGCUAGCGAAGAUUAGAAGG
Molecule: long non-coding RNA, 116 nt
Organism: Dermochelys coriacea (leatherback sea turtle)
Lineage: Eukaryota; Metazoa; Chordata; Testudines; Dermochelyidae
Exons: 2
Source: RefSeq, a predicted model, not a curated record